This 443-nucleotide ribosomal RNA is filed under the name uncultured bacterium. RNAcentral's name for it is "bacterial SSU rRNA". It matches the Rfam family "Bacterial small subunit ribosomal RNA", at positions 355 to 810 of the family's 1533-position model. The record is from RNAcentral.
UGGGGAAUCUUGGACAAUGGGGGCAACCCUGAUCCAGCCAUGCCGCGUGAGUGAUGAAGGCCCUAGGGUCGUAAAGCUCUUUCGCCUGUGAAGAUAAUGACGGUAGCAGGUAAAGAAACCCCGGCUAACUCCGUGCCAGCAGCCGCGGUAAUACGGAGGGGGUUAGCGUUGUUCGGAAUUACUGGGCGUAAAGCGCACGUAGGCGGACCAGAAAGUUGGGGGUGAAAUCCCGGGGGCUCAACCCCGGAACUGCCUCCAAAACUAUUGGUCUAGAGUUCGAGAGAGGUGAGUGGGAAUUCCAAGUGUAGAGGUGAAAUUCGUAGAUAUUCGGAGGAACACCAGUGGCGAAGGCGGCUCACUGGCUCGAUACUGACGCUGAGGUGCGAAAAGUGUGGGGAGCAAAACAGGAUUAGAUACCCUGGUAGUCCACGCCGUAAAACGAU